RNAcentral lists this ribosomal RNA (554 nucleotides) under uncultured vent bacterium ML-21. RNAcentral's name for it is "bacterial SSU rRNA". It matches the Rfam family "Bacterial small subunit ribosomal RNA", at positions 355 to 896 of the family's 1533-position model. The record is from RNAcentral.
UGGGGAAUUUUGCGCAAUGGGGGGAACCCUGACGCAGCGACGCCGCGUAGGUGACGAAGCUCUUUGGAGUGUAAAACCUUGUCACCGGUGACGAAGGCGGUUCAAUCGAACAGGUUGAACAGCUUGACGGUAGCCGGAGAGGAAGCCCCGGCUAACUCCGUGCCAGCAGCCGCGGUAACACGGGGGGGGCGAGCGUUAUUCGGAAUUACUGGGCGUAAAGGGCGCGUAGGCGGUCUGCUAAGUGUGGAGUGAAAUCCCCGGGCUCAACUCGGGACGUGCUUUGCAUACUGGUGGACUGGAGUCCGAGAGGGGGUGGUGGAAUUCCUGGUGUAGGGGUGAAAUCCGUAGAUAUCAGGAGGAACACCGUUGGCGAAGGCGGCCACCUGGAUCGGUACUGACGCUGAGGCGCGAAAGCGUGGGGAGCGAACAGGAUUAGAUACCCUGGUAGUCCACDCCGUAAACGAUGGUCACUUGGUGUUGGGGUGUCUUAACCACUUCAAUGCCGGAGCCUAACGCAUUAAGUGACCCGCCUGGDGAGUACGGUCGCAAGGCUG